AGGGCAAGUCUGGUGCCAGCAGCCGCGGUAAUUCCAGCUCCAAUAGCGUAUAUUAAAGUUGUUGCAGUUAAAAAGCUCGUAGUUGAAUUUCGGGGUCAGCAGGUUGGUCGUGCCAAUGGUAUGCACUGGCCUUGCUGAUUCCUCCCUCUUGAUGAGCCGUAAUGCCAUUAAUUUGGUGUUGUGGGGAAUCAGGACUGUUACUUUGAAAAAAUUAGAGUGUUUAAAGCAGGCAAGCGCUUGAAUACAUUAGCAUGGAAUAAUGAAAUAGGACGUUCGAUCCUAUUUUGUUGGUUUCUAGGAUUGACGUAAUGAUUAAUAGGGAUAGUUGGGGGCAUUAGUAUUCAAUUGUCAGAGGUGAAAUUCUUGGAUUUAUUGAGGACUAACUACUGCGAAAGCAUUUGCCAAGGAUGUUUUCAUUAAUCAAGAACGAAAGUUAGGGGAUCGAAGACGAUCAGAUACCGUCGUAGUCUUAACCAUAAACUAUGCCGACUAGGGAUCGGAUGAUGUUAAUUUUUUAAUGACUCAUUCGGCGCCUUACGGGAA
This 543-nucleotide ribosomal RNA is filed under the name uncultured Glomeromycotina. RNAcentral's name for it is "SSU rRNA". It matches the Rfam family "Eukaryotic small subunit ribosomal RNA", at positions 552 to 1096 of the family's 1831-position model. The record is from RNAcentral. Lineage: Eukaryota; Fungi; Glomeromycota.